CCUACGGGAGGCAGCAGUAGGGAAUAUUGCUCAAUGGGGGAAACCCUGAAGCAGCAACGCCGCGUGGAGGAUGAAGGUUUUCGGAUUGUAAACUCCUUUUGUUAGAGAAGAAAAUGACGGUAUCUAACGAAUCAGCACUUGCUAACUCCGUGCCAGCAGCCGCGGUAAUACGGAGGGUGCAAGCGUUACUCGGAAUCACUGGGAGUAAAGAGCGCGUAGGCGGGAUAGCAAGUCAGAUGUGAAAGCCUAUGGCUUAACCAUAGAACUGCAUUUGAAACUGUGAUUCUAGAGUAUGGGAGAGGUAGGUGGAAUUCUUGGUGUAGGGGUAAAAUGCGUAGAGAUCAAGAGGAAUACUCAUUGCGAAGGCGACCUGCUAGAACAUAACUGACGCUGAUGCGCGAAAGCGUGGGGAGCAAACAGGAUUAGAUACCCUUGUAGUC
This 440-nucleotide ribosomal RNA is filed under the name uncultured bacterium. RNAcentral's name for it is "partial 16S ribosomal RNA". It matches the Rfam family "Bacterial small subunit ribosomal RNA", at positions 338 to 795 of the family's 1533-position model. The record is from RNAcentral.